This 635-nucleotide long non-coding RNA is filed under the name Homo sapiens (human). RNAcentral describes it as "HSALNT0372531". Lineage: Eukaryota; Metazoa; Chordata; Mammalia; Primates; Hominidae. The record is from RNAcentral.
UUAAAAGGUCUGAUUUAAGCCGACGCUGUUCUACCCUGCCACUCCUAGCCAUAAAUUGGUACUGUGUUUAUAAUAGAAUGAUCAUCUAAAAAUAGGAAUGCAUGGGGAAAUCACGCAGGGAGCAGAGACUUAUAAAAAGGUACACCUAGAAAUAAGGUUACAAGAGGAGGGACACAUCUCUCAUUUGGCUACGAGACAUGCCUGCUGUUGUACAAAUGUGCACUGCCUAUUCCAAGAAGGCAUGUGUGAAAAGAAGGAAAGGAAGGAAGAGUUAGUAUCCUGUGUCUCUUCUAUUCCAAAUUAUGAUGAGAGUGAUCUGGAUGAACUCCUACAAUGUGGCAGCCGUUUGCUUUGUGCUGGAGAUACCAUGACGAACAGCCCACGUUCCUGCCUUCAGGAAACUGAAAGAGAACCAACUCUCAGAACUGCAGCAAGGUUAAGGGCCUUGGCAGCUGUACUGUGCAUUUGGUAUUAUAGUAAUAGUCACAAGACAACCCUCUAGACUGUGUGUGGAGUCAGGCAGAGCUGGGUAUAAAUCCUGGCAUCUGCAACCUUUCUCGGGCAAACUGCCUAACUCUUCUAAAAUCUUACCAGUAAGAUGUGGGUAAGAAAUUCUACCUUGGCCAGGUGCGGUG